RNAcentral lists this RNase MRP RNA (372 nucleotides) under Penicillium decumbens. RNAcentral describes it as "RNase MRP". It matches the Rfam family "RNase MRP". Rfam says of the family: RNase MRP is an enzymatically active ribonucleoprotein with two distinct roles in eukaryotes. In mitochondria it plays a direct role in the initiation of mitochondrial DNA replication. In the nucleus it is involved in precursor rRNA processing, where it cleaves the internal transcribed spacer 1 between 18S and 5.8S rRNAs. Lineage: Eukaryota; Fungi; Ascomycota; Eurotiomycetes; Eurotiales; Aspergillaceae. The record is from Rfam by way of RNAcentral.
UCCUCGCUCAAAGAAUCGCAUUCAAAGCUUACACACGAAGAAGCUUGCUUCUUCUACAUCUUGCUUUGGGAGAAAGUCCCCGGACACCCUGCGCUUUGGUUCGCCGAAGUUGUCCAAGCCAGGCAAUGCGGAAACGCGCCGCCAUAGAAGCAAUUCGAUAGCGGCUUACUGCCCUACUCCCUCCCGGCUCCGCGCACCAUCCGACGGCCUCGCCGGUCACAAUGGGGUGUGUGUUCGGGGUCGGAGAGGGGAAGGAGGACCUCGUGUCUUCCUUGUAUUGGGUUGCCUUUCGUCGUGGUUCGAUAGUCAUGCGAUUGCCUUUCAUUCUUUAUUGAAUGGGGUAACUCAAUGGGGCUCAUUCUUGAGGCGAGG